This 1680-nucleotide ribosomal RNA is filed under the name Triticum aestivum (bread wheat). Its description in RNAcentral is "partial small subunit ribosomal RNA". The record is from RNAcentral. Lineage: Eukaryota; Viridiplantae; Streptophyta; Magnoliopsida; Poales; Poaceae.
AUGGCCAGCGCUCUCGCGACGUCCGCGCCCCACGCGCGUGCGCCACCGCCGCCGUCGCCCCCACCUCUGCCGCCCCCACCGCUUGCCCUCCCUCCGCCCCCGUUCAAGCCCACCACCCUCGCCACCCCUGCAUCCGGCCCGUCCGCGCCGCGGCGUCUCUCCUCCGCGUCGGCAUCGGGGCUGGUUCCUGAUCCAGAUGCGUCGUCGCCGUCGCAGCAUCCGGGGCUCUCCUACUUGUCCCCCGGGAUGGUCGCCGGUUUGCCCCCACCGUCCGGCGACUCAGCUCCAUCGACUGAAGCCUCUCUGCCCCCGCCUCGUCUUCGAUCCAUUGUGGUCCGGGAUCCAGCCGCCUGGAUUUGUGUUGACGGCCGUUCCGAUGUUGCACGGGUCGCUGCUGGAGUGCCGCGGUCUGCCUGCUGCGUGCGGGCUUUCUCGGAGGUUGAUGCUGUUGUUGCUGCUCCACCCUCUUCUUCACAGACUCGCCCCAAAUCUGUGGUAAUCCGGGACGCAGCCUUGGCUUCGGGGGAGGGGAUUCCUCUCCUUCCUCAGACCAUGGAGGAUGGAUUGAAGUGCGUGGGAGCAAGGAAUGUGCAAAUGCUUCCAGCAGCGGUCGGGCUGUGCCGCCGAAGGCGCGGCCGGUGCCGCAAGCAUUUCGCCAAGGAUUGCGAGGAGCCGCUAAAGUGCUGGCGUUGCUACAAAGAUUUCCAUCUUGCCAGUCAGUGCCCUGGCACUUUGUCGAAGCUCUCCUCGACGGUGCCUUCCCAUGGUCCUCGACUUGAUGUUGGGGAUCGCCAUGACGCGCCGGCCAGCCAUGCUUCUAGGCAGCGCUCAUACGCCGAGGCUCUCUUAGCGCCACCCCUUGGAGAUCGCUUGGCUCGUAGUGUGGACGGUUGUGUCUUCCCUCUCGCUUCGGUUGAGCAGGAUCUCCUUGCUGCUAUGCUCUCGGCUAGGCCGGUGGGCAUCGAUCCAUGGCCUAAUGAUCCUAUGCUUGAUGAAGCAAUGGCGCCUUCCCCUCAGGUUUUGCCUGUGAUCCUUGGUCCUAGGGAAUGCUCCGCUUGGGGCGAUGACAUGUGGUUCAGCCAUGAUGCCUCGUCCGUAGGGAGUGAGGAAUAUGUUGAUCCUAUGUGCUCGGAGGCUACUCUUCUGUCGCCACACCAUGGAGGCUCCUCCUCGUCUUCUGUGGUGCACUCCCUUGUACGUCUGAUGCAGAGUCCAGAGGAGCCGCUCGGUUUCAACGCGCCUGAUGUUCUGGUUGAGCCUAUGGAUGAGGUGUGCAAUGUUGUUGCGAAGGUGGCGCAAACUAAAGCUGCACCACUAUCUCUGGAGGAUUUUCUCAGCAAGGUUACUUGUUCGCUCCCACAACCUCUGCUUGGGACCCCAGUGCCUUCGCAUGAGGAGAAGAAUGGCGGGCGACGGAGCGGGCGUCUGGAUAAGAAGAACAAGGCAUGCAACAUCCCGACAUCCAAGCGUGCAGAGUAUAGAAUGUUGGAGGCUUUUGAUGAGUUGCCGGAGGUUAGCAAAGUAGAGGGGCCAGAACAAAAGAUGCAAGCAUACCUGGACAUGUACAAAAAACCGCUCUCACCGCAAGUGAUCGACGCGUUGAGCUCUUUGGCGAGGAUCGCUGGGAAGUCAAAGUUGGACCUGUUAGGAUGUUUUUCACCUGAUAAUGUUAGCACAUGA